Molecule: long non-coding RNA, 217 nt
Filed under: Lathyrus oleraceus (garden pea)
Lineage: Eukaryota; Viridiplantae; Streptophyta; Magnoliopsida; Fabales; Fabaceae
Description: Pisum sativum (pea) long non-coding RNA (PSAT_LNC039887)
Source: RNAcentral
UAUGUAGUAUCUGUCGUCAACCAGGACACAACAAGAACAACUGUCCCAAUCGAGGAGCAUCAUCUAGGUCUUAAGCUUUUUGUAGCAUUGUAUUUCUGUAACCUUCAAUCAUUAUAUAUCAUUAAGUUUUUGUUACAACGAGGUUCACAACAAACAUCAGUACAAAAUAAACUAUCUGAAAACAGAAAUAUUUCUAACUGAUUACAACAAUCAAAUU